This 808-nucleotide ribosomal RNA is filed under the name uncultured bacterium. RNAcentral describes it as "bacterial SSU rRNA". It matches the Rfam family "Bacterial small subunit ribosomal RNA", at positions 60 to 860 of the family's 1533-position model. The record is from RNAcentral.
AGUCGAGGGGCAGCAUGGUCUUAGCUUGCUAAGGCCGAUGGCGACCGGCGCACGGGUGAGUAACACGUAUCCAACCUGCCGUCUACUCUUGGACAGCCUUCUGAAAGGAAGAUUAAUACAAGAUGGCAUCAUGAGUCCGCAUGUUCACAUGAUUAAAGGUAUUCCGGUAGACGAUGGGGAUGCGUUCCAUUAGAUAGUAGGCGGGGUAACGGCCCACCUAGUCUUCGAUGGAUAGGGGUUCUGAGAGGAAGGUCCCCCACAUUGGAACUGAGACACGGUCCAAACUCCUACGGGAGGCAGCAGUGAGGAAUAUUGGUCAAUGGGCGAGAGCCUGAACCAGCCAAGUAGCGUGAAGGAUGACUGCCCUAUGGGUUGUAAACUUCUUUUAUAAAGGAAUAAAGUCGGGUAUGCAUACCCGUUUGCAUGUACUUUAUGAAUAAGGAUCGGCUAACUCCGUGCCAGCAGCCGCGGUAAUACGGAGGAUCCGAGCGUUAUCCGGAUUUAUUGGGUUUAAAGGGAGCGUAGAUGGAUGUUUAAGUCAGUUGUGAAAGUUUGCGGCUCAACCGUAAAAUUGCAGUUGAUACUGGAUAUCUUGAGUGCAGUUGAGGCAGGCGGAAUUCGUGGUGUAGCGGUGAAAUGCUUAGAUAUCACGAAGAACUCCGAUUGCGAAGGCGGCCUGCUAAGCUGCAACUGACAUUGAGGCUCGAAAGUGUGGGUAUCAAACAGGAUUAGAUACCCUGGUAGUCCACACGGUAAACGAUGAAUACUCGCUGUUUGCGAUAUACAGCAAGCGGCCAAGCGAAAGCGU